GCUAAACGCGAAGAACCUUACCCACCUUUGACAUGGCAGGAACUUACCAGAGAUGGUUUGGUGCUCGAAAGAGAACCUGCACACAGGUGCUGCAUGGCUGUCGUCAGCUCGUGUCGUGAGAUGUUGGGUUAAGUCCCGCAACGAGCGCAACCCUUGCCAUUAGUUGCUACAUUCAGUUGAGCACUCUAAUGGGACUGCCGGUGACAAACCGGAGGAAGGUGGGGAUGACGUCAAGUCCUCAUGGCCCUUAUAGGUGGGGCUACACACGUCAUACAAUGGCUGGUACAAAGGGUUGCCAACCCGCGAGGGGGAGCUAAUCCCAUAAAGCCAGUCGUAGUCCGGAUCGCAGUCUGCAACUCGACUGCGUGAAGUCGGAAUCGCUAGUAAUCGUGGAUCAGAAUGUCACGGUGAAUACGUUCCCGGGUCUUGUACACACCG
Molecule: ribosomal RNA, 438 nt
Filed under: uncultured bacterium
Lineage: Bacteria
Description: bacterial SSU rRNA
Rfam family: Bacterial small subunit ribosomal RNA
Source: RNAcentral